GACGAACGCUGGCGGCGUGCCUAAUACAUGCAAGUAGGACGCAGUUGCGAACGGGUGAGUAACGCGUAGGUAACUACCUAUUAGAGGGGGAUAACUAUUGGAAACGAUAGCUAAUACCGCAUACUAGUAGAUGGACCUGCGUUGUAUUAGCUAGUAGGUAGGGUAAUGGCCUACCUAGGCAACGAUACAUAGCCGACCCGGUGGGGUGGUGGGGCACCAUGGGACCGGGACACCGCCCAGACUCCUACGGGGGGGAGCAGGUGGGAAUCUUCGGGAAUGGGGGGAACCCUUGCCGGGCAACGCCGCGUGAGUGAAGAAAGUUUUCGGGUCGUAAAACUCUGUUGUUAAGGGAGCGGUACUUAACCAGAAAGGGACGGCUAACUACGUGCCAGCCGCCGCGGUAAUAC
RNAcentral lists this ribosomal RNA (407 nucleotides) under uncultured bacterium. Its description in RNAcentral is "partial 16S ribosomal RNA". It matches the Rfam family "Bacterial small subunit ribosomal RNA", at positions 28 to 526 of the family's 1533-position model. The record is from RNAcentral.